AAGUUGUAUUAUGUACAUGAGU
RNAcentral lists this microRNA (22 nucleotides) under Monodelphis domestica (gray short-tailed opossum). RNAcentral describes it as "mdo-miR-7390-3p". The record is from miRBase by way of RNAcentral. Lineage: Eukaryota; Metazoa; Chordata; Mammalia; Didelphimorphia; Didelphidae.